AAGACCUUGCACUUUUGGAGCGGCCGAUGUCUGAUUAGCUAGUUGGUGGGGUAAAGGCCUACCAAAGCUUCGAUCAGUAGCUGGUCUGAGAGGACGGCCAGCCACACUGGGACUGAGACACGGCCCAGACUCCUACGGGAGGCAGCAGUGGGGAAUUUUGGACAAUGGGCGCAAGCCUGAUCCAGCCAUGCCGCGUGAGUGAAGAAGGCCUUCGGGUUGUAAAGCUCUUUCAGCCGGGAAGAAAAGGCUGCGACUAAUAAUCGCAGUUCAUGACAGUACCGGAAGAAGAAGCACCGGCUAACUACGUGCCAGCAGCCGCGGUAAUACGUAGGGUGCGAGCGUUAAUCGGAAUUACUGGGCGUAAAGGGUGCGCAGGCGGUUUUGUAAGUCAGAUGUGAAAUCCCCGGGCUUAACCUGGGAACU
This 423-nucleotide ribosomal RNA is filed under the name uncultured bacterium. RNAcentral describes it as "bacterial SSU rRNA". It matches the Rfam family "Bacterial small subunit ribosomal RNA", at positions 207 to 622 of the family's 1533-position model. The record is from RNAcentral.